CCUACGGGAGGCAGCAGUGGGGAAUAUUGCGCAAUGGGCGAAAGCCUGACGCAGCGACGCCGCGUGAGGGAUGAAGGUCUUCGGAUCGUAAACCUCUGUCAGCAGGGAAGAACGGUCACUGUGCUAAUCAGCAGUGAAUUGACGGUACCUGCAAAGGAAGCACCGGCUAACUCCGUGCCAGCAGCCGCGGUAAUACGGAGGGUGCGAGCGUUAAUCGGAAUUACUGGGCGUAAAGCGCUCGUAGGCGGUAUGUCAAGUCAAGGGUGAAAUCCCCGCGCUCAACGUGGUAACUGCCUUUGAAACUGGCAAACUGGAGUGUGUGAGAGGAUAGUGGAAUUGCAGGUGUAGGAGUGAAAGCCGUAGAUAUCUGGAGGAACAUCAGUGGCGAAGGCGACUAUCUGGCACAUAACUGACGCUGAGGAGCGAAAGCGUGGGUAGCAAACAGGAUUAGAUACCCUUGUAGUC
This 465-nucleotide ribosomal RNA is filed under the name uncultured bacterium. RNAcentral's name for it is "partial 16S ribosomal RNA". It matches the Rfam family "Bacterial small subunit ribosomal RNA", at positions 338 to 795 of the family's 1533-position model. The record is from RNAcentral.